UACGAAGGGUGCAAACGUUGCUCGGAAUUACUGGGCGUAAAGCGUGCGCAGGCGGCCUCGCAAGUCAGGCGUGAAAUCCCCGGGCUUAACCUGGGAAUGGCGUCUGAAACUACGGAGCUGGAGUGUGGCAGAGGGAGGUAGAAUUCCACGUGUAGCGGUGAAAUGCGUAGAUAUGUGGAGGAAUACCGAUGGCGAAGGCAGCCUCCUGGGCCAACACUGACGCUCAUGCACGAAAGCGUGGGGAGCAAACAGG
RNAcentral lists this ribosomal RNA (253 nucleotides) under uncultured bacterium. Its description in RNAcentral is "partial 16S ribosomal RNA". It matches the Rfam family "Bacterial small subunit ribosomal RNA", at positions 524 to 776 of the family's 1533-position model. The record is from RNAcentral.